Clarias gariepinus (North African catfish) is the source of this 213-nucleotide small nucleolar RNA. RefSeq annotates it as small nucleolar RNA U3. Lineage: Eukaryota; Metazoa; Chordata; Actinopteri; Siluriformes; Clariidae. The record is from RefSeq and is a predicted model, not a curated record. The transcript has a single exon.
AAGACUAUACUUUCAGAGAUCAUUUCUAUUGUUUCUAUCUAGGAAAUGUGAUUGGAAAGUGUUACAUUUCUUUAAUCAUGAUGAUGAGUUAUGACUAACUUUUCUGAGCAUGAAUCAGAUCAUAGCUUUGUAUUUUAUGCAUGAGCUAUAAUGGUUGAUGAUUGUUCUCUGUCUUUAAAGGACAAUAAAAGAAAAGUACAUAAUCAGAGUGAU